RNAcentral lists this ribosomal RNA (253 nucleotides) under uncultured bacterium. Its description in RNAcentral is "partial 16S ribosomal RNA". It matches the Rfam family "Bacterial small subunit ribosomal RNA", at positions 524 to 776 of the family's 1533-position model. The record is from RNAcentral.
UACGAAGGGGGCUAGCGUUGUUCGGAAUUACUGGGCGUAAAGCGCGCGUAGGCGGUUCUGCAAGUCGGGGGUGAAAUCCCGAGGCUCAACCUCGGAACUGCCUUCGAUACUGCGGGUCUCGAGUCCGGGAGAGGUGAGUGGAAUUCCUAGUGUAGAGGUGAAAUUCGUAGAUAUUAGGAAGAACACCAGUGGCGAAGGCGGCUCACUGGCCCGGUACUGACGCUGAGGCGCGAAAGCGUGGGGAGCAAACAGG